UGGAGAAAAGACCAGCCCUCUCAGCCCUCCCAGCCCUCUGUAUUUCCAGAGUGGUCUUUGUGUGUCUUAGGUCUUUGUUUUGUGUUACUUGUCACUUUGACGAUGGGACUCUUCUGAGUUUGACUUUAGACCACUGGACUAAACUUAGGGCUAAAGCAUACAAUUUGUCAGUUAAGAUUAAGAAAGGACCAUGACAGACUUUUUGCUCCUCUGAGUGGCAGGCGUUUGAUGUCGGCUGGCCUCCAGAGGGCACCUUUGACCAUUAUUUUUGAUCUGCUCUCCUUCAUCUGUCUUGUUGGGAAAGAGGAGUGAUGUGAAAUCCGCUCGUUUUCAUCUGUCUUUGGUGAGCUCACAGAAACUCCUGUCUGAAUCAGUUCAGCUUUGUGGUGAUCUCUUGGCGGCCG
This 404-nucleotide long non-coding RNA is filed under the name Rattus norvegicus (Norway rat). RNAcentral describes it as "long non-coding RNA NONRATT011395". Lineage: Eukaryota; Metazoa; Chordata; Mammalia; Rodentia; Muridae. The record is from RNAcentral.